CUUUUGCGCCGGGGCUGCUCCUGGGAUGGGGGCUUGGGGCUCAAUCCCGGGGGAUUGGGGCCAUGUCCUGCUCGGGACUGGGUCUGGAUGCUGCUCCAGCAGGGCUGGAAAUGUCCCGGCAGUGACACGGAGCCGCGUCUGGGUCAAGGCCAGUGGGAUUCCCUGGAGCCAGCGGGAUCCCCAGUGUUGGUGGGAUUCCCAGUGCUGGUGGGAUCCCUGGUGCCAGGGCGAUUCCCCACACUGGCAGGCUCCCCAGAGCCAGCAGAAUUCCCAGUGCUGGUGGGAUCCCUAGUGCCAGGGAGCUCCCCGGAGCCAGCAGGAUCCCAUGUUGGUGGGAUUCCCAAUGCUGGCAGGCUCCCCAGAGCCAGUGGGAUUCCCAGUGCUGGUGGAUCCCUAGUGCCAGGGGGCUCCCCGGAGCCAGCGGGAUCCCCGGUGUUGGUGGGAUUCCUAGUGCUGGUGGGAUCCCUGGUGCCAGGGGGAUUCCCCAUGCUGGCAGACUCCCCAGAGCCAGUGGGAUUCCCAGUGCUGGUGGAUCCCUAGUGCCAGGGGGCUCCCCGGAGCCAGCGGGAUCCCCGGUGUUGGUGGGAUUCCCAGUGCUGGUGGGAUCCCUGGUGCCAGGGGGAUCCCCCGUGCUGGCAGGUUCCCCGGCAGGAUCCCCAGUGCCGGCGGGCUCCCGCACUGAGCAUGCGCGCCGGGGCCGCUGCCAAACCCCGCUUCCUUCCUGGCAGCCCCGGCGCCAUUUGCCUGCCAGUGCUGCCAGGAGAGCGAGGCCGGAGCUGGGCCGGAGCCGGGCCACAGCCGGGAGGCACGGGAUGCCCUGAGCCAGCCCCGCUCCCGUUCCCGCUCCCAUCCUGGCAUCUCCUCCUGCCCCGCGGUGAUGUCCUGGCACGGCCACAUGGCCCUGCCCCUCGUCGCGAUGCUCCUGGCCUUGAUCGGCCGCGCGGUGCCGGGAGCCACCAACAGCUCCUUCGCGGUGGCGGUGGAGGGGCCGGCGGCGGUGCCCUACGGCGAGGACGCCCUGGUCAACUGCUCCACCACGUGCCCGGCGGCGGAGGCGGCCGGCGGCCUGGAGACCUCGCUGGCCAAGGAGCUCCUGCACCGGGGCCCCGGCUGGCUGGCGGUGCAGCUCCGCAACGUCACCGAGCCCCGCGCCCGGCUCCUCUGCUACUUCACCUGCUUCGGCCAGAGGAAGACGGCCGCCCUCACCCUGGAGGCGUACCGCUUCCCGGACCCGCUCCUGGCCAUCAGCACGCUGAAUGCCUCCCUGCACGAGCCGGUGGCCGUCGAAUGCUCUGCGGUGCCCAGCCAGCCCCCGGGGCUGCAGCUGUGGCUCCGCAGCAACCGCUGGGCCCAGGCGUCCGGGACGGAGGGCCACGUCCGCCUGGAGCUGACGGCCCGCGAGGAAGACGACGGGCUGGAGUUCAUCUGCGAAGCCGAGCUGCUCGUGGGCAACCAGACGCUGCGGAAGAGCUCGGCCCCGGCCACGCUCAGCG
This 1493-nucleotide long non-coding RNA is filed under the name Apteryx haastii (Great spotted kiwi). RNAcentral's name for it is "lncRNA (ENSAHAG00000008182.1)". The record is from RNAcentral. Lineage: Eukaryota; Metazoa; Chordata; Aves; Apterygiformes; Apterygidae.